This 1471-nucleotide long non-coding RNA is filed under the name Capsella grandiflora. Its description in RNAcentral is "long non-coding RNA (CGRA_LNC000105)". Lineage: Eukaryota; Viridiplantae; Streptophyta; Magnoliopsida; Brassicales; Brassicaceae. The record is from RNAcentral.
GAUCUGUUUGCUUGUUCUUCUCGCCGUGUAGUGAUCUAUGGUUUAUAGUUUUCGAAAUUUUUGUUUCUUGGUAGAUGGUUUUAAGUUUUCGUCGGAUCUUAAACUUGUUUCGUUUUUGGUUGUUGUUGAGAUUUGCCCAAUGAUGCAUAAAAUUAUGUUAUAGAGCGGUAGUAUUUGGGUAAUCUCCGGCGUGUUGUAGUAAUAACACUGUUGUUUAUACCUUAAAAGCCUUGAACGCUGUCGCUUCGUAGUCGACGACAUUCACACACGCGCACAUCUCAAUUGCACCACUUCACCAUCCCCACACACGUGCGUCGGAUGCGAAGCGGUGGUGUUCAGGGAUUUUUUUUUAAGGUUGCUGGAUUUUAUCCAUUUACUGUCAAACCGUGAAUGAUCAGAUUAUAGCUAUGAGAUCUGAGGGCUCCUGUUUUUUUUGUAAUUAAAGCUUCGUUUUUUAUAUCUGUUCAAGUUUUUUCUGUGUUUUCUUUGCCCAUUGAUGUGAAAACUCAAUUCUGAGUGGUGCCCUGGUUUUUAAAUUGUGAUCUCGUUGUUAUCAUUGCAGCUCAUCAUCAUCAUCAUCAUUGUCAAUGACUAAGCUUCUUCUUCUUCUUCUUCUUCCUCUUUGUCGUCUCUCUCUCUGCUGCUGCUGCUGCUACUGCUACUGGUUUAUUGCAAUGGUAGCUGAGGUUGAUUUUAAAAACCGGAUUUUGAUGUGCCACACAUGACAGAUUUGUUUACUGAGGGUUUGUUUUAUAGCUUUUAUAUUUUGUUUUUGUGAAUCAUGUACAGUUUUUUUGUUGUUUUCGAUAGACUUAAAGUCCUGUGAUGAUUCUUUAAUGUGUUGGAAGUGGUGCCGCUUGGAUGUUUCUAGCUGAGACUCAUCAUCUCCAUUGUUGUACCUGCUUCUCUCUCUCUCUUUCUCUCUCUCUCUCUCUAUCUUUAUAUAUAUAUAUAUAUAUAUACAUCAACAUACAUGCAUGGAUGGUUGCAGCAAUGGUAAUGAUGAGAGAUUGGCUUGGAUGAAACGUAUGCGUUGUAUCAUCUAUGAACAUAUAAAUGUUUUCUAAGAACUGAGGGCUUUUUAUACUUAUUGGUCCUAUCUUAGUAUUUCUAUCGUUUAAACUGCUUGCUUGAAAUUAUUUGGUUAGAUUUGAAUUUUGUAUCUUAGUAAAAUUUGCAGGAGUCCGAACAUCUGAGGAGUUUUAAUCUUCGUUUGUGGUGGCCAACAUUUGCCUCCUCUUUUGAUAGAUUUUACUGUGCUUGAAUCCAAAGAGAAGUCAGGUUUUGUUGUAGACCCAAUUGCAUGUGGUCAUUGCCAUCUCUUUGUUGUAACAUUUAGUAAAAGCUUUAUUGUUUAAUUCUUUCGAGUUGUGUAUUCUUUUGAACAUAAUAAAUACAUGUAGUAUGUUUCCCCUCAUAAAACAAUGUUAAUGUAAUAGUUGAAUUAUUGUAGACAUAUAUUAUCAAAGUA